CAAAACAUCACAUGGUUGUCACUGCUUUCCUGAUACUGGAGGAUGGGUGCAUUCUCUGUGACCCUCCCUUAUUAGAAAGGAGUAGACUAUGGGAAACCUGAACGUGGAUACCUGUGGACUCUGCCUGUUUCUUUUCCAUAGUUGAUCCCUGCUGGAUCUCUGUAACAGAGAAAGAGUAUCAUAUGAGGCAGAGAAGUCCAAGACAGAGGGCAGCAGAGCUAGUGUCUGGUGAGAGCCCACUUCCUGGAUUGAAGACAGCUACCUUCUUCCUGUGUCCUCCUUACAUGGCUGAGAGAGAGAUUAUCACUAAUCCCAGGCUUCACCUCAUGACCUGAUUACUUACCAAUGGCUCUACCUCCAAAUACUAUCUCACUGGGAUUACGGUUUCA
Molecule: long non-coding RNA, 389 nt
Filed under: Mustela putorius furo (domestic ferret)
Lineage: Eukaryota; Metazoa; Chordata; Mammalia; Carnivora; Mustelidae
Description: lncRNA (ENSMPUG00000024094.1)
Source: RNAcentral